GUUCUACUGCGACGUUGGUGCCUGCCAAUAGAGUUUUAUGAUCUAUGUUUUUUGAAUAAGGGAACCUAAAGCAUCCUGGUGGCAGUAGACCGGGCUUGUACCCGGAAACUUUAAACCAGUGAUUAAGGUGCCCACCUGGAUUUUUUUCCAGGUCAAAAACUGAGGUAAGACGGCGUUGCGGGGAACUC
RNAcentral lists this non-coding RNA (188 nucleotides) under Elainella sp. Prado103. RNAcentral's name for it is "6S RNA". It matches the Rfam family "6S / SsrS RNA". Rfam says of the family: E. coli 6S RNA was the first non coding RNA to be sequenced, but its function was unknown until recently. It consists of 184 nucleotides that fold into an extended hairpin structure with a large single-stranded internal bulge. The 6S RNA specifically associates with RNA polymerase holoenzyme containing the sigma70 specificity factor. Lineage: Bacteria; Bacillati; Cyanobacteriota; Cyanophyceae; Oculatellales; Oculatellaceae. The record is from RNAcentral.